RNAcentral lists this ribosomal RNA (317 nucleotides) under uncultured bacterium. Its description in RNAcentral is "bacterial SSU rRNA". It matches the Rfam family "Bacterial small subunit ribosomal RNA", at positions 29 to 351 of the family's 1533-position model. The record is from RNAcentral.
AAUAAACGCUGGCGGCGUGCUUAACACAUGCAAGUCGAGCGAGAAAGUCCUUCGGGCUGAGUAAAGCGGCAAACGGGUGAGUAACACGUAGGAAUCUACCUUUCAGUGGAGAAUACUCUCGAGAAAUCGGGGUUAAUACUGCAUACGUCUUGUAAAAGAGAAAGAUGGCCUCUUUGCUGUCGCUGAAAGAUGAGCCUGCGGACUAUUAGCUAGUUGGUGGGGUAAAAGGCCUACCAAGGCGAUGAUGGAUAGCCGGCCUGAGAGGGUGUACGGCCACACUGGAACUUAGACACGGUCCAGACUCCUACGGGAGGCAG